GUUGCAGGGUCAAGACUUGUACUUCAUCACUCUCCACGUCUUUCUGUACGUCAAAACAUGUAACCUAGAGAUCCUCUGGAUAAUACAUGAAGCACAUGUUUACUGCAAACCAAAACAUAUUUACAACUGAUUGUGUUGUGCAAUAGAUUCAUCCUAAACUCCAUUUGCGGGAGCACUUUUAACAGAACCCUCAUUGAUUUGGUUUCCAGAGGAAUUGCAGCCCGGGAUCACUUUACCUUGUUACCUUGUCGCACAAUGUUCUGGUCUGAUCUCCAUGUCCAUUUCCGCUCCGCUUCCCCUCCUUCUCGCCGGCGCGCUGCCCGACAAGAGUUCUCUUUGUCCCCGUGGUCAGUCAUCCGUUCCUAAUAUCCAGACUUUUACCGCACGGGAGACGAGCUGCAUGCUUUCAGAGAGCAGAGCCGGCAGUUGAUGGCUGCACUCCAUCUUCCAAAGGAUGCUUUGAAGAAACCUCCGGGCUCAGUGACUAUGAAUAACAAGCAUUAAAUCAUCAGAUUUUUUUUUAUUUCACACACGUGUACAAAUACAAUUUAUACACCAUAAAAAUCACUUGUAGAUGCCACAUCAACCGUGCUUUAAUGAAUCAACUCAAGGGUAUGGUUGUAACUGUAAAAGUUGGCUUGAAAGUGCUUUAAGUAAAAAAAUUGAAAAAAAGAAUUACAUAUUGUAAUGUCUCACAACGCCUCUUAUGCCAGAUUUUAUAAAAUUGUCAAUAUUGUAAAUAAGUGUAGUGGUGAAGACAGUAGCUGAGGACCAUCAUUAGAAAUCAGAUUUUGCAAAUAUGUUUGCAGGCAAUAAAUUCAUCGGAACAUUCAAGCAAUAUCCGAAAACAGCCGGUGUAGAAAACGUGCGCUUACAAACGCAACGGUGCCGUUUGUCCAGUCUCUCCCUCAGGUAAAAACAGUAAACAGACAUUUGAAAAACGCGAGGGGCUUGAGUACAGUGUAAUGAUGUUUCAGGUAGAAAGAUGCCAUGCAGAGAGAUACCAUCAACACAAGAGAGCUCCUUCUAUUGCAUUAGCUAAAGGCACCGAUAUCUCCAUGUAAAUAACUUCGUUUCGGCCGCUGCCAGGCAAAGAAAAUACAAUUGCUAGCUGUUAGCGCGGCCCCGCGCGCCUGGUAGCUGAGGGAAAGUGGCUCCGACAGUCAAUGGCAGCGGGGAGGCUGCGCCUGUGCGCUCUUUAAUUUGUUAUCGUCUCCCUGUGCGACGGAGCAUAUUAAUAAAGCACCUCAGAGCUGCACUUUCUAAACAGACCGUAAAUCACUGCACAUUCAACCCACGCAGGCGGGUAAUCGUACAGGUGGAGGCCACCGGCUUUUAACCGCCACAAUUAACACGUGAAACACUUCACUCGGGAAGCGAUGUGACACAAUCAGCUGGCGUAAUGAUUAGUUAAUGGCUGGUGUAAAGUGUGGGCCGGCCCUAGAAAUUCAAAACAAGAGAAAGUUAAUCAGCCUAAUUGAAACCAUUUGGUAUUAACAUAAUAUUACCACUGCAGAAUCGGGGAUCUUUCAAUAAAUGCUCACUGAAAACGUAUGUUUGAGCUAAAUUAGUUUCCUUUUUUUUUUUGCAUCUGAAUAAUUGUAAUUAAGAAUGCUUCCUCUCCCCGCAGAGCCACCUCGGUUGCCAUUUCGUUGACUGACACACACACACACACGCUGUCAGUUGCUGAGGAAGAUGCUGUGAAUGGUGUUUGCUGGGAUUUUGGCAUCUUCUUCCUCCCCGCUGAUUCUGAAGAUCACAGCGGUGUUGGAGGGGAUGGUGAUGGAGGCGUUCAGGGAUUUACCCAGCCAGCUCUGAGAUCCACGCUUGUACAUUUUGACGGUCACCUGCAGAGUAGCACAGAGAUCGGGUCACCAUUGAGAUCGUAAAGCGAACCGUCAUACAGAAGCAGGGGUGCUGUUCUUGGAUACAGAACAAGGCUCUUGGAGGCGACCCCCGGGACCUCGGCCUGGAGCAAAGCAGGCGCUCACGACUUUCACAUUUGACCUCUACGUGGACGAGCUGUUGCUUUGUCUGCGGGUUUGUCGGCUGAAGAUCGACAUAAACACUGAUCAUGAGGUCUGAGAGCGGAUCAAAUUAAAACGUCCGUCAAUCUCUAGUUUGAACUAAUAUUGAUUUGAGGUAAAUAUGUUCUUCUUAGACAAACUUUAUCGAUUAUUAUUUAUUUGAGGGUCCGUUACAGUUUUAAACGUGUGUCUAGUUUUCUACUAAAUAUAUUAGAGAGUAAAACUAAUACCUUCUCCCUUUUAUUGGAAGAUAACGCUUUAACAAAGAUCCUCCUUAGGAACCAAUUAGUCAUCCACUGAAAUAGAGUUAAAAAAAAGGAAUAUUUUUCACAACCCUGCAGGAUUUUUGUGAAAGGAUUUUGGAACGACUUUCUGAAACAGAAUAAAUAUUAAAUUAACCUCGUUCUCACUCUGAGCUUUUUUUAAUUCCCCUCCAUAUCUCAAAUGGAGACACCUCUCUUGAUUUUUCUGUAGGUUGUAGGCCAUAAUACGCUUUAACAUUACACCAAUACCGCCUGCUAUGUUUGAGCCUGACAAUAGAAGCCUUAACUAGAUUUAGACAUGCAGGUAAUUGAACCACAUCCAUUUCAAAAAGAAUGCCUCGCUGCAUCUCUUGUUUGGCUGCAUUUACAGGGCAUAACAGAAUAGUACGGCGCCUUUUCACAGUUCCAUUUUCUUUCACUUUAGCAUUAGGCAAUUUUUCAAUUAUUUUUUUUCCAUGUUCUUUCAUCCGCGGCUUUCCAUAAUGUCUGGGCCUUUUAGUUAAUGGUAGCGACAGUCAGAGCCCAGUAUAUCGGCCCUUGUCCAUUUUGCAGGUCAUUGUGGGAGCCCAAUAGGCCUUUUAUUACACCGACAUCAAAAGGCAGAUAAGCAUUAGAGGUGGGGAGAAUACCCUGCACUAGAUAUGUUCCCUCUUUCCUUUGUCUGCUAUUGAAAGUGAUCAUUUUAAUAGUGAAGAGGUUGGUGAGCUUUGGGGCUGAUGGGAAGUGCGACACCCCUGACGGCCUACGAAUAUGAGCGAAGUCGAUAACACAACACGAGCACACAGCACACCCUCAACACCUGCGCACUCUCGCUGCUAACCUAAUUAUCUGCAACAAAGGCCGGUGCCAUUUCAGACACAUCUUUCCACCAUUUACUUACUUAUUACUGCGCAUUAAAACAGGGAGAAAACGAGGAAACCCCCCGGAACAAUUGUGUCUUAUAUUGCAGCCACGGAGCCAUGGCCGAAUGCCACAUGGCUUGUGUUACAAUAGCAUCAGACACUUCAGAAUGAGUGUCUUUUAAUUUAGAAUGCAUGAAAAAAAUGUGGUCAUGACAGCUGGUGGCAGGGAGGCACAUAAACCAACACAAAGACACCAAAAAGGGAUUAUUCUAUCAAAUCACACACACAAACCUAAUAGCAGUAAUCUGCAAUUAACUCAUUUGAUGGUAAGUAAAGUUGAGUGCGUCCGUCUUUGUGGCACAGACACAAUACUGUUUUUGCAUCACAUUAAAAAAAAACGACAGGCAGAAGAAAAAAUAUUCACGUAUAGCCGGAGCAGCAGGAGAGGCUAUGAAGCACACAUGCUGCCUACGUGGGAAAGCAUCAUAAAGCAUUUACCUCCAUGAUUAAAGAAUUAAAGAAAAAUGUGUGAACUCUGCAUCUAUAUCCUGAUCUGCUUUGGACAGCAUCGAAUUCCUGUCGGAGGAUGUCAUGUUUUUGUACAAGGAUUCAUUGUGGAUGAAUUGAAUUCUAUUUUUUGUAGCAUUGACUGAAGGACUGAAUGCCAUCAAAUUGCUAAAUCAUUUAGAGUUGAUAUGUGCAUAUGGAAUCUUAUUGUAAUUAGUUACUAACUACACAUGUAGUUAGUUUGCACAGAUGUGUAAAUAACUCAAGCUGCUUACUGUAAUCUGGAAAGUUAUUAUUAGAAAAUGAUAGUAUAUUUGAAUUAAAUAUCAGAUUGAACAUCAAAUAAUAAAUAUCAGAUCAUUAGUAUUAUUAAUAUUAUUGGGAGUUUACCACGGAACCUGCAGUUUGGGGCUAAAAUGAUGUAUUACAUACCAACAUAUUCACUGUGAACCACACAGUUAAACCCAGAUGUUUUAACCAAAACAUAAAUGAUUGUAUCCUUUGAAAUCAAGGGAACCUGAAGUGAUGUGAUUAACUGCUGGACUCGGCCGUGUUGCGACACACACAGGAAGGAAGCGUGCAGCCGUCUUUGGCAGAAGCUCAAAUUCUGUGUGGUCGAGGUCGCCCGGCAGCUGUUGUUGAGCAGAGCACGCGUGUGUGUGUGUGUGUGUCAGGUACAGUAACUGUCACUGCGCGUUCUCAGUCUCAGUCACUUGAGCCAAGUGUCUCAGGGUAAAGACAACACUGUAUCUAAAUGGCAUCAGAAUAAAGUGUAAAAGGAGUAGCUUACAUUAAAAAAUAUAUAUAUAUAUAUAUUUGUUUUGUGCAAACUGCAUGCUAACGGCAGCAGCCACAUCUGCACAUCGAUCACCCAGACAAAGAAAAAUCAAUAGUUGGGGAAAAUAAUGUCUCCCUUUUGACAGUGAAAUGUCCACAAGUGUACCAGAAUCAUUACCAUUACAAGCACAGACAGGCCUGAAUGUGUGUGUAACACCUAAUGGGGAAGGCAGGUCCCUUGGGGCGAAGGUUGGGUGUCACACAAAGGGCUAAGAGCUCACCUAACGGAGUCUACCCCCGAUCCGCCUCUCACUUUCGGUGUGUGUCGGGGGCGGGGGGGUGAAUGAGAUCACUCCUCACAUUUCAGCCAGACAAACUCCGUCUUCUUAUUUACCGUCUGCUAACAGUCGUGAAUCCUGCCUCUGGUUCACCGUUCACCUUUUGCCCUCUUCAACUCCAGAGCACAGCUCCUUCUGACGUCUCCUCACCUGCCGGCUCACACGGGUCUCGCCGGUUCGCCCGUCGUCUCCCUGUAGGGACGUCUUUGCGCUGUGACUUCGCACAUCUUAAUUAUUUAAUUAUAAAAGCAAUUAAUUUGCGAUCAGAGGUCUGACGAACCCCAAUAACGCGGAGAACCGCAGACAUUGGGUAUCGGGACGUGUCAACACCUGUGUGUGUAUUGCCAUUCAUAAAGUUCAGAUUCCCCCUGCUGAUAAAGGCCAAAGAACCCCAGCGGGGUAUCAGUCAGCGGGGGGUGGAGGGGCGUCACCUGGAGCAAUGGGUGCAGUGUUUCAGCUGAACUCUGAGCGAGCGUAACGCCACACCGGCUUCAGACGGCGCGCUCUUUGUUUCCGGGCCGUGUCUCACCAGACACAGACGGGGAGGAACACCGGGUAACACACCUGUGUGACGACGCGCCAAAUGGGAUGGGAGCUGCCGAGAGGGGUGGCGGUUUUGGGACGCAUUUAAACAGGCAAUUAGGUAAACACUAGUGUGACCUAAAUUAACAACGUGCUGAGAGAGUGAAGAUGGGUGUCAAAGAGGCUGAUGUAUCAAUCGCUCUGGAUGCUUUCUUUUUUUCAUUUUUUAUUAACUGAAAGUAAAUCAAUCGCGAUCUUCAAAGUGCUGGUUUUAAAUGAACCAUGUGAUCAAAAGCAGCAGCUCCAGAUGUGGAGCGAAAAGCAGGAAAUCCCUGCGUUUGUGGGUCUGCAACCAGUGAGUUCUUAACAAAAAAAACAACCUCAUGGGUUCAUUCAUUUUAUUCAUCAAAAAUGCACUUUAGCACGAAAAAGGAGGAAUUAAUUAGUAUGAGUCCAAUAACUUAUUGUCCAACAAAUCACCUGAACAAAAUCCUCAAACGUCAAAAUGGAGCUCCAGGUGUGUCCCAUUUAUCAAGACGCCGGAACUGUGUGACAUGACCGACCACGUCAACAAAUACAUUUGUCUAAACCGAUGAACGAGAAACAUUGCUGGUUAAGUACUGAAUAGCUACUUCUGCUUCCAACCAACCUGCCUCAGCUAACAGGAAGCCAUUAGGCUGUCGGCAACAACCAUUUACAUCCAUUCACCCGGCUCGGACUUUAUUUCCAUCCACAUAAGUGCAUUUUCUGCGGGAGGUUAAAAUAUGAAUCCCCCUCCUUUUUUUCCCUCAAUGGGUCUGGUUGUCUGGCCGACUUGAGGGGGGGCACAAUCUAUGACUGAUUUAAUUUGCUCUUUACGAACAUCUCUAACAGCAUUACCCCCCAGAGCAUACAGUGACUGCCCCCAUCUGACUCCAUUAACUCCCAAAUCGGGUUUAAAGACCAUAUUGAUGCCGUCCGUUAUUAAGGGUGAUUAUCAAAACAACAGACAAUGGGCCAAAGUGUCUGUUAACUAGCUUAUCCAUAAUUUCACGUAACUGUAACAGAUGGCAAGGCUGUCAAUUACAUGCUGUAUCUGCUGCGCGCACAGCGGCCACACACUGUCUGGAUAUGCAGCGUAUUAGCCUUCACAUUAAAAGAACGAUAGUCUGCUGUCAGAGGAAAUGAACUAGGCGGGCAAAAUAAACUACCGUGUUAAAUGUCGAACAUGCGUCAUUAUGAGAAAACAGCGAGAACUUUUACCAUUACCAAAAGACGUAUUUUUUUUUUUUUUCCAGAUAUCACCGGGGGGAGGGGUUCUAUUUAAUAAUGAUAAAAUAAAAUAAAAAAAGUCAGAGAUAAAAUUUUUGCCAGUCCACUUCACCACCUUUAUUCUCCUCAAUUAACGAGAAUGGCUUUUGAAGCUGUAAUUAAGUGUCUCUGCUCCACUCGGCCUCUUCAUUAUUCAUGACUCCCCAUUGAUCAUAUCUUACAAGCUACACUGUGGGGACCGCUGUAAUAUCCUGAAUCCCCAAAACAAAUAGCUGAGCUGCCCGAGUUAAAAUGAACAUCUUGGCCAGUGACCAAAGAAAAGUCUCCAUUAGAUACUAAAUCUAGCUUUUGAUGCUAAAUUGGAUGAUGGUCAGCGAAUCAUUAAUAGGAAAAAUCUUGUAUGCAGCUUUUGGUCUUAUUAAAUAUAUCAGAGCAAAGGUCUGGGUAAUAAUGAAAUAGGAUCCUUUAUUGAACUCACGUGGAGCCAUAUUAGUAGGCUAUGAUCAUAUCACUGUUGCAACUAACGAUUAUUUCAUUACCAGUUAAUCCGCCCGUUAUUUUCUUAAUUAAUCAUUUUGUCAAUAGAAUAGUGUAGAAAUGCUGAAAUCAGUUUCCCGGAGCCCAAAGUCAUCUUACCGCUUGUUUUAUCCAACUACUAGUGAAAAACUCUAUUGUCAUAUUACUGUAUUAGUACAGUGCAAUAAUAUCAAAUAGUAUAUUUUACAAUUUUAUAUUAUUGUACUGUACACCACGAUGAAAUAAACCUUACAAACAUACAAGAUAUAUGGGUGUUACACAUUUACCGGUGUCUGGCAAAACCGCAGCUCAUUUCACAUUCAAAGCAUAUUAAUGGCUUGGGCCUUUAUUUUAAACAUGUAUUCAAAUUUCCUGAAAUGCAAUCUCCACGUGUGUUAAGUAGGAAUGUGUAAAACAUGAACUCUACUGGUUGAUGUUUAACUAAAUUAACAAAAGAGCGCUUGAAGAGCCCUCAAACACGCCUGGUAUUACGUGCUGGGGUGGGAAUUUGGAGGAAACACAUCGAGUCAUCUUCAAUUUGACAGAUGCAGAAUCUCUCCACGGGACUCUUCACUGUGGCUUAGUGCUUGAGUGAAAAAAUAGAUUUUUACCAAGUUUAAUCACACGCUAUUACAAGGCAGCUUUUAUCAUUGCCUUCCACUGCGUAAGUGCUGGUGUCUUCACUAGUUCAUUACGGACACUUGUGAUGCUGCAGCACCCUUCUCAUGUGUAAUUGCAUGGUUAGCUUUCCUCUGUAGCUUCACACACACACACACACACACACACACUCCGCAAAUUAUUUCCAAUUCCAGUUUUCCGAAGAGAGCAAUGCUGCAAUCACAGAAAACUGAACAUCCCGCUUAUCUCCCCACAAUUUUCUUUUAUUUCUUUAGUACAGAAAAUCAUUCUUUCACCAGUCGGGUUCUUGAUGAACCCGAUGAACGCUGAACUCUAAGGGACUGGAAAUCUGAUUUAAGUGCACUUACUGCGAGAAACAACUUAAAUAUCUUUGGUAACGGAAAAUACACAUUUCUGUGUUGUUUUUGUGGUCAGCAGCAUUCACUCACAAGUACACAGGCUUUUAAAGUAAUUACAGGCACUGCCACGUUCGUACAGUCAUUUGUUAAGAAAAUCACAUUUUAUAGAGCAUAUAAAAGGAUUCUGACAUACAGGUGAAUGGCAUGUUUUAUAAAUAUAAAUAGGGGCUACCUAUAUUUUCUGUCAAGGGGGAAAUAAUCCCCCCCCUCUACAUAAAAAGAAAGCAAAAAGCUGCAGCGGCUGCCAACAUUAUCUAUUUAGACAGCAGAAUUUGCAGGGCUUUGUAAACGUCCGGCUCCUGGCCCUUUGUGCGCCUCCAUUCAUUACCACCACAAAGCAGUUGAUGUCUCCCCUCUCUGCCUUUUCUGUGCCGAGCACCGGGGGGGGCGCUUGCCCGGCAGACCCC
Long non-coding RNA from Gasterosteus aculeatus aculeatus (three-spined stickleback), 8487 nucleotides. Lineage: Eukaryota; Metazoa; Chordata; Actinopteri; Perciformes; Gasterosteidae. The record is from Ensembl.